GAGGGGACUACUUACUCCUGAAGCUUGAAUCUUGGGAACAAUCAGCAGAUGUCUGAGACCGACCGAUCGGAAAAGCACCAAAGCCUUAGCGACCGACAUACUCUGCACCACUGUGUAAGGUGUAGUGUUGGUCAAAGGAUGAAGAUCAACAUACAUUUGCAUCUCUGAGCUUGUGAUUGCAACAUCGUCGAAAUUGUCUUCUCUCUCAGCCAACUCCACCGGUGUGAACUUUUCUCUGACUUCCCAGUCUUCUGUUCUUCUCUUCUCAUUCAAGAACCAUCUCUUUUUCAAAACUUUAACAAGAUGUGCUCUCAAGAUCAACCCAUGAAGCUCUGUAGCAUCACCAUCCAGUACCGGGAAGGCGUUAUGCGUUGUGUUCCUCAGUGCAUCUACUAUAUUGGCAACUUUUUCAACUCCGCGAAGGGUAACCACCGGAGGCUUAGCAUCACCAAGCUCACCUACAGUGAGAUUCCUCAUCCAUGGCUCAGGAUUUGCUUCCAGGAAUGGUAAGCCCUUAAGAUGGAGAAUGAUCUCGUAGAUACUAAGAUUGAAGCUGUCUCCAACUGUUUUAGCAAUGAGAAGCACAAACAUAGUAAUGGGCAACAAAAGAAGGUUGUUGGUGAGCUCAAGGAAUAUAACACAGAGAGAAACAGUCAUUCUCAUGGAACCAGCCAUGAGAGAAGCUGCACCAAGGACCGCGUAAAGCCCUUGGUCGAUCUUUGUGUAAGGUCCCAUUACUGUGCCUAGCAUCCGACCGUAAGCAGAACCCAUGAGGAUGAUCGGUAAGAAGAGACCGGAAGGUGUGGCUAUACCGAAUGUGAUAAGCCCCAAAAUGCAGUAGAGACCAAAGUAUAUCCACAGGGAAACCAUACCAAACUCAUUAGGAGUGUUUGAAGAGAACACGUUUCUGACAGCAUCAUCAUUGGUUGUGAGAAACAGAGUCGCUAGAUCGUUGUAGUAACCGUUGGGACAGUUGAACUGCUUGAAGUUCCCUGAUCUUCCGUUUGUUGGACAUGCCUCGUCUAUCGAAGGAUUACAAGGCUUGCAUUCCGCUAAGAAAGGAAGCCCGUACAAGCAAAGUGAUGUGAAGAGAGACACCGAAAGACUUAGAAGCACCUUGUGAAUCUUACCCUUCCUGCACAAACCAAUGUUAAGUAAAGUGAAACUCUCUUGUGUUGUUGAUGUUUUCUUGACUCACAAGCAAUCACUUACUGGUUGAUGAGAUUGUAAAGACGAAGGACUUUAUGAAGAAGGUGAUUGUACAAGCUUCCAAGAAUGCCACCAAUGACACCAAUCAAUGUAACAGGGAUUAUAUCCACUGCAUGGUACCUAACCUCUACAUGACUCACAUCAAACAUAAUGAGUCCUCCUUUACCGAAGAGCCCGCAUUUACCGGAGUUGCAAAUCUCUAUGAAAGCUCUCAGUACAACCACCACAACAGCUGUACUGAAGAAGGUUCUCCAUAGAAGAGCGCUUCUCCACCACGUGGCAACUUCCUCAAGAGCGAAGAGAACCCCUCCUACUGGUGAUCUGAAAGCUGCACAUACUCCAGAGGCAGAUCCACAUGUAAUAAGAUCUCUUCGGUCUCUGUCGUUGUUGAAGUAACGAAGCCAUCUCCAUUUGAUUCUAUGGUUGUCUGGACCACCUUGACCGAGUAAAGAAGCUAUGCAGCUUCCAAUGUGAACCAAAGGCCCUUCUUUGCCAAGAUCAAGUCCAGCUGCAACUGCUCCAAUACUUCCAACAAUCUAUAUUCAAAAAUACAGUAAAAAAAUCUAUGAGUCAAACAGUUAAUAGAUGGCGCUCAUGAACGUUCUCACAAGGUUUAGGAAACAAACCUUAACGAUCAUGGUGGUGGCACCAAACAUAUUGGGAGUGUCGAUGCCAUUAAGGUAAGCUUUGAUCUCUGGGAUCCCAGGACCAGCAGCUGUAGGAGCAAAGACAACAACAAGUACUGUCGCCACCAGAGUCAGACCCAAAUUCGCACCAGUAAAAACCAACAGACCUGUCACAUAUCUAUUUCAACAGAAACGUAUCAUACAAGUUAACUCCAUUUCUUAGUUAUGAACGUUUUUUUUUUGGUCAAGAUUUUGAUGAUGAGUCAAUACCUGUCUUGACCGAUAUAGUGGCCGACGGCCAGGAGUUUGUAACCCGCGAUGUUUUCGACGGCGAGGUUGAUGAGAGUAGCUAUGAGACCAGUUAAGAGACCAACAAGAAAAGCUAAUGUCCAUUUUGCGAAUAUGUAUUGCAACACUUGUGCCUUUGAUCUGCUUCUCCAGUCAUGCUUGAACAGAUCGUUCUCAUUUAUCCUGAAGAAACCACAAAAUUAUAGCUUAAAUUUUUGUUUGUUUGUUUGUUUUUUUAUACAAAAUUAUCACCGAAAUUUGUUCCCCAUGUUCUUAUUUGAAUGAAGGUUAUCUUUUAAUAGAGAAGAAGAUAAAAAAAACUUUAUCAAAAAGAUAGAUACCAAGACUUAUCAGACAACUAUAAUAAAAGGUAUCAGAAUCUUAUCAUGAUUCUUUUCAAGAUUUGCUGAUGAUUGUUUGCGGAAAAUUGAGAUGUGAGAAAAUAUUGAAGUGUUACAACAGUUCAAAUGUCUCGACCACUAAAAUAUUUAUCCAAUUUUUAAAAAUAUAAUUUAUGUUCUAAAAAAUCAGAAUAGAUAGAGACUAACGCUUUAUAGAAAGAGAUUGAGACCCAGAAUCCAUUCAAAAAAUUCUAAAAAAAGAUUACUUGAAAAGAGAGUGAGAUUAAAUCCUUAUAUCCAAUUUUUUUCUUAAAUAAACAUUAUCUGAAAACAGAGAAAAAAGCUCAACACUAUAUAGAAAAGAUUUUUAAGCCCAGUUACAAAAAAAAAAGAAUAAGGCUCCGACCGGUGACCUUUACGGGAACACGAGGAACAAAUAGGAAAAGAACGUAUAGAAAUAAAAUUACAAGAAUGAAAAAGACUGAUUGUUCCUUAUCAAAUUAAACAAGAAAUGCUUUUGUUCUAUAUUUCUCUACACAAAAUAGAAUGAAGAGGAAAAAGAAGGAAAAACUAUUCUUUUUGAAUGGUGAUUUUUUUUUGGAAUGAUAAGAAAUUCAGCGUUUCUUUUCGUUUCUUGGUCAUCAUUCAAAGCCUAAUUUAAUUUAUUACUUGAUUUUUAAAAUAAAACUAACAAAUUAAUUAAUAUAUAAAAACAAUAGUUAUCUAGAGAAGGAGGAGUGCGUAUUUGCAAAUACGCUAGUUAUUACGUCAAGUGCGGUUAUUAGGCCAUUAUUAUCGCGAGUCCUAAUGCCCGUCCCCCAUAUUAUUGGGUCGAAAAAUAAAUAAAAAAGACCGAAUAUCAUUGUAAACGGACCUUAAUUAAGGUCUUUGGGCUUCGUCCUUAUGGGCGACGUGGCAGCAUCCGGUUGGAAGUCGAAAUAGGGUUGGGGAAAGUCAGACCGUCCUCUUCUAUUUUCCAGCCUUCUCUUUGAUUCUCUCUUCUCCGCGGCGAUAGCAGUGGCGAUAGGUUCUCCGGAGGUGCGAGUAGUUGCCUCAUCGACGCUUCUCCGCCGAUUCAAUCGAUCUGCUGCCUCUUCGACGCUUCUUCGCCAAGUCAAUCGAUUCAUCACAUCGACUCUUCUCCGCCGAUUCAAACCUAAACGAGGUAUGUCUUCCUCCUCCUUCAUGGGUUUUUUUUGUUGUUGUGAUUGACGAUUUGUAUCUCCGGUUUGUGGGAUCCGUCAUGGGAUUUAGAUGAUUAUGUAUUGAUUUUUGAUUUGUAUCCGCCUUGUUCUGUGAUUGGUUGGUUUUGAUGUUUCUGAAUCGGAUCGUCGUUUGUGAUGAAUGGGAUUGUGGUUUGUGAUUGUAAAUGAAAUAGAGUUACGGUUUUCUUAAUCUUGUUUCGUCUUCCUUGCAUGGAUAGAACAGUUUAGCAAUUUCGUUGUACAAACGUCGUGAUGCUUGAUUUGAUUAAGAAAAUUAGCUGGCCUUGAUGUUUGAUUUCAUUUAGGAUCAUUUGAAUUCCUGUUAUAUAUUGAGAAUUUCAUUUGAUUCUUUGUUUGAUUCUCGUUUCUAUUGUAUGUAUUGAGUUAAAUUUUGAGUUUCAUAUAUAUAUUGCAACUGAUUAGUUAGAGACUCUCGUUUCUAUUCCUGUUAUACAUUGAGUUAUAUAUCAAGUUUCAUGUAUAAAAUGCUCUGUAAUGAAUGAUGUAAUAUAGUCAGCCUUUUAAUACUAUCGUUUCAGUUAAACCGUGCCCUUAUUGAGUUUGAAAUUGAGUUAUAUAUUGAGUCUGAUGAUUUAGAGUUACAGUUUGAAACUUAGUUUGAUUGAAACCAAAUACCCUUUGAAUUAAAUGACCUUGUAAAAGUUAACUUGAUUGGUUUUUGUGUUGUUGUUUGUGUAAUAACUUCUGAUAAGACCUUGUUGGUUUAUGGUUAGUCAUAAUGUGGCUUACUUACCACACUUUAAACUUUUGGCUAUUAAACCUCAACCAUACAUUGUAUAAUCGACGCAAUCUACUAUCUCGCUUUCUCUCUUCUCUGUUCUUAUUGGUAUGGCUUCAAGGUAUCCAUAUACCCAGUCCUCUGGUUAUAUAGGACUCCUUAACAGUCAACACGAAACUGUUAACCAUGAAAACUACCCUUAUGGAAGUUUUCAUUCUUGUGUGAACCUUGGAGCAUCAAAAAUCCCCCCUUUCAGUUCCCAACAACCUGACGUGCCAUCUCAACCUGUAGUCACACCAGUGGAGCGUAGGGAGAGGAAGAAAUAGACGCCUUCUGACGACGAGGUUCCGAUAAGUGGCUGGCUGAACACAUCUAAGGAUGUUGUUGUUGGAAACGAUCAAAAUGCACGGACCUUCUGGGAACGUGUUGAAAAUUAUUUCAAAGCAAGUCCUCACGCUAGAGCGUGCCUUCGGAGUCCUGCAAGCUAGAUUCGCCGUUGUUAGAAAUCCAUCUAAUUUAUGGAAUAAAGACAAAAUAGGAAAUAUUAUGAGAGCAUGUAUCAUACUCCAUAAUAUGAUUGUCGAAGAUGAACGAGAUUUAUACACUCAGCAUAACACUUCAGAAUUUCAACAAGAUGUUGAUCCUACAUUUGUAGUCAAGAGGACUAAAAAUCUCGGUACUACAAUGGGUCGUCGAGCAGAAGUUCGGGAUAGACAAGGCCAUCAACAAUUAAAAGAAGAUUCGAUUGAAAAUAUAUGGGCUAAAUUUGGACAUCUCCCAAAUAACUACAAUGUUUAGAAAAACUUGGACGGAGAAAAAAAAUAAACUACAAUGUUUAAGUUUUUAUGAAUUCAAUAAAAUGUUUGUUUGCUUUUUUAUCAUGUUUGUAAUUUUUUUUCCAACUUUGUAAUUUUCUCAUGUUUUCAAUUUUAAUGUUAUAUGUUUUAUUUUAAUUUUUUUCUUUUAUAUAUCAUUACUUAUUUAAAUAAUUAAUUAAUAUACUAAGAAACAUCAAUAAGUCUUACCAAUAAUCCUAUUUUCUAAAAUUGUCCUUAACUUUAGUCCUUAACACCUAAAUAAUAAUUAACUAAUCUAAGGACUUAACAAUUAGUCCUAGCAUGCCCUUACAUAGCUUUUACGUCAAGUGCAGUUUUAGACGGGUGUCAAGUAUUUGAUUGAUAGUUUGAGCAAUUGCGUGAUGUCAGAGCAUCUACAAAAAAGAACUCUAUUUUGAAGUUUCUAAAGCUCUAUAUUUAAAGUUUAAAGGUGUUCUUCUCCAAAAGCAAAACUUCAAACUCAACUUUAAAACUAUUUAUAUUUUAUAAUAUGGUCCUUAUAUUUAUCAUAACUAAUUUGAAUUCAUAAAAAUUUUGUAAAUAACUAGCACAUAUAUAAACAUAUUACAACAAUAUUAAUUAAUAAAAUUUUAUAUUAAAAUAUAAAUUUUUAAACAAAAUAAUUUAAUUAAUAUUAAACUUCAAUCAAAAUACCAUAUUAUUCUAUUAAGUGAUUUCCGUAAUGCAUAUAUGAUCUACUAGUGCUUUUUGAAGUAAAAAUGGUUAUCCUCAUUUUUAAUUUGUAAAUUAGAUAUAAAAAUUGUUGAAAUUGGGUGAUAUUAAUACUUGUAAAUACAUUAGAUAAGAACAAGAAAGUAAAAGAUAAACAUAAAAUAUUGCUAAAAGACUAAUUUUUAUCGAUAAUAUUAAUACUCGUGAAUAUAUUCAAUAUAAACAAGAAAUAAUUGUACGAAAAUACAUCAUCAACAACAACAAUAACGACCAUCUUCAGUUACACAAAAAAAUUGGACAAUAUUUAGAAAUUUUGAAGGUUCCGGUUCAAACUUACUUGACUAUUAGUGUUGUUGUAAUAUUUAAAUUUGUGUAAAUAGUUAUGUCUUCAUGUAAUUUUUAAAAGCAUUUUUUGUUAAGUUUCUUUUGUAUAUUUUUGUUAUCUAAAUCUGCUCUUAAAUAUUUUAAAUCUUAUUUUAAAGUUUUAUUUAAUUUUAUGUAUAAACUUAAAUUUUGUAAACAAAACUUAAAUAUUUAUGAGAUAUAAUUCUUAUAAGGAUUAAAACAAUAAACAAUAAAAUAUAUAUAAAUCAUAAAUGUGUUGUGUAAUUGUAUGGAUCAAAAUGCAAAUAAAAUAUGAAACUUCAAAUUUGAAGUUUUGAGUAGUGAAACUUCAAAUAUAGAGUUUCACUCCUCAAAAUUUCAAAUUUGAAGUUUUGAAGUUUCUUUUUGGAAAGCAAAAAAACUUCGUAUUUGAAGUUAUAGAAUAUCUUUUGGAGAUGCUCUAAAACCGCACAUUUUUGAGAAAAUUUCUUGAUUGGUGGUGAAAAGCGGUUUUGACAAUAGGCACUUUGAAUUCCGCUUUUAUUUUGUACACGUCAGUCCCCCGUUUCUUCAUGACAACAACUUUUUAUAUACAUUCUUGGUUCAAAUGAGUUAUAAGAGGUUCUAUUGCAAAUGACCGGCAGAUACUGACAAAAACUUUCAACAGAAUUGUAAAUGUACUCGAAUUGAUUAUUUCUUGUAAUAUAUGGUAAAAAAAAUAUAGAGCUUUACAAGUAGAAAGUACAAAUGUACGAAACAACAAUAUAUGUGUUUUUGUGUGGGUCUAGAAGAAAGAAUGCAAGCAAAACUGGACAGAAUAAAUAUCACUAAGAAUGGGAGAAAGAACACAAUAAUCCAAAGAUGAUGCAAUCACUCACACAUAAGCAAAAGGUAAUGAAUCUUGCUUUUGCUUAGUUUCUUUUAUCGUAGCUUUCCACUUUUGUGUUUAUCCAAAUGAGGAAACGCUUGGAGAAUGUUAUAAGCCCUUAGAUCUUGCCUUGUUAAGAUCCCUAUCACAGGAGACAUCUGCAAACACAUAAAAGACAAGUUUAAAGUAGUGUUCUUGCAAGAUUGCUUACUUUCAAGAAAGGAGGGGACUACUUACUCCUGAAGCUUGAAUCUUGGGAACAAUCAGCAGAUGUCUGAGACCGACCGAUCGGAAAAGCACCAAAGCCUUAGCGACCGACAUACUCUGCACCACUGUGUAAGGUGUAGUGUUGGUCAAAGGAUGAAGAUCAACAUACAUUUGCAUCUCUGAGCUUGUGAUUGCAACAUCGUCGAAAUUGUCUUCUCUCUCAGCCAACUCCACCGGUGUGAACUUUUCUCUGACUUCC
RNAcentral lists this long non-coding RNA (7574 nucleotides) under Brassica napus (rape). RNAcentral's name for it is "long non-coding RNA (BNAP_LNC018593)". The record is from RNAcentral. Lineage: Eukaryota; Viridiplantae; Streptophyta; Magnoliopsida; Brassicales; Brassicaceae.